GACGAACGCUGGCGGCGUGCUUAACACAUGCAAGUCGAACGGAAAGGCCCUGCUUUUGUGGGGUGCUCGAGUGGCGAACGGGUGAGUAACACGUGAGUAACCUGCCCUUGACUUUGGGAUAACUUCAGGAAACUGGGGCUAAUACCGGAUAGGAGCUCCUGCUGCAUGGUGGGGGUUGGAAAGUUUCGGCGGUUGGGGAUGGACUCGCGGCUUAUCAGCUUGUUGGUGGGGUAGUGGCUUACCAAGGCUUUGACGGGUAGCCGGCCUGGGUGGGUGACCGGCCACAUUGGGACUGAGAUACGGCCCAGACUCCUACGGGAGGCAGCGGUGGCGAAUAUUGCACAAUGGGCGCGGGCCUGAUGAGGCGACGCCGCGUGCGUGAUGACGGCCUUCGGGUUGUAAACCGCUUUCGCCUGUGACGAAGCGUGAGUGACGGUAAUGGGUAAAGAAGCACCGGCUAACUACGUG
This 468-nucleotide ribosomal RNA is filed under the name uncultured bacterium. RNAcentral's name for it is "partial 16S ribosomal RNA". It matches the Rfam family "Bacterial small subunit ribosomal RNA", at positions 28 to 507 of the family's 1533-position model. The record is from RNAcentral.